This 666-nucleotide ribosomal RNA is filed under the name Staphylococcus aureus. Its description in RNAcentral is "partial 23S ribosomal RNA". It matches the Rfam family "Bacterial large subunit ribosomal RNA", at positions 574 to 1246 of the family's 2925-position model. The record is from RNAcentral. Lineage: Bacteria; Bacillati; Bacillota; Bacilli; Caryophanales; Staphylococcaceae.
UCAGAGCCCGUUAAUGGGUGAUGGCGUGCCUUUUGUAGAAUGAACCGGCGAGUUACGAUUUGAUGCAAGGUUAAGCAGUAAAUGUGGAGCCGUAGCGAAAGCGAGUCUGAAUAGGGCGUUUAGUAUUUGGUCGUAGACCCGAAACCAGGUGAUCUACCCUUGGUCAGGUUGAAGUUCAGGUAACACUGAAUGGAGGACCGAACCGACUUACGUUGAAAAGUGAGCGGAUGAACUGAGGGUAGCGGAGAAAUUCCAAUCGAACCUGGAGAUAGCUGGUUCUCUCCGAAAUAGCUUUAGGGCUAGCCUCAAGUGAUGAUUAUUGGAGGUAGAGCACUGUUUGGACGAGGGGCCCCUCUCGGGUUACCGAAUUCAGACAAACUCCGAAUGCCAAUUAAUUUAACUUGGGAGUCAGAACAUGGGUGAUAAGGUCCGUGUUCGAAAGGGAAACAGCCCAGACCACCAGCUAAGGUCCCAAAAUAUAUGUUAAGUGGAAAAGGAUGUGGCGUUGCCCAGACAACUAGGAUGUUGGCUUAGAAGCAGCCAUCAUUUAAAGAGUGCGUAAUAGCUCACUAGUCGAGUGACACUGCGCCGAAAAUGUACCGGGGCUAAACAUAUUACCGAAGCUGUGGAUUGUCCUUUGGACAAUGGUAGGAGAGCGUUCUAAGG